GACGAACGCUGGCGGCGUGCCUAAUACAUGCAAGUAGAACGCUGAAGAGAGGAGCUUGCUCUUCUUGGAUGAGUUGCGAACGGGUGAGUAACGCGUAGGUAACCUGCCUGGUAGCGGGGGAUAACUAUUGGAAACGAUAGCUAAUACCGCAUAAAAUGGAUUAUCGCAUGAUAAUCCAUUGAAAGGUGCAAAUGCAUCACUACCAGAUGGACCUGCGUUGUAUUAGCUAGUUGGUGGGGUAACGGCUCACCAAGGCGACGAUACAUAGCCGACCUGAGAGGGUGAACGGCCACACUGGGACUGAGACACGGCCCAGACUCCUACGGGAGGCAGCAGUAGGGAAUCUUCGGCAAUGGACGGAAGUCUGACCGAGCAACGCCGCGUGAGUGAAGAAGGUUUUCGGAUCGGAAAGCUCUGUUGUAAGAGAAGAAAGAGUGUGAGAGUGGAAAGUUCACACUGUGACGGUAUCUUACCAGAAAGGGACGGCUAACUACGUG
This 497-nucleotide ribosomal RNA is filed under the name uncultured bacterium. Its description in RNAcentral is "partial 16S ribosomal RNA". It matches the Rfam family "Bacterial small subunit ribosomal RNA", at positions 28 to 507 of the family's 1533-position model. The record is from RNAcentral.